Non-coding RNA from Arachis ipaensis, 1647 nucleotides. The record is from RefSeq and is a predicted model, not a curated record. Lineage: Eukaryota; Viridiplantae; Streptophyta; Magnoliopsida; Fabales; Fabaceae.
AAUUGCAACCCUAGCCUCAUUAAACUAAACACAGUAACGGCGCUCUCGAUCUCCCUUCUCUCUCCUUCGUCUCCUCCGUGCUCCGACAACGCUGUUCUUCCCUCUCGGGCUUCUCCUCUCUUCGCCGAUUACGAUUUCUCUAGACAACCUAGUAGAGAAUCUAUUGGAUUUUGAGUAUGAACUUAAGAAGCCAUACCUAUUAUAUCGGAAUGCAGCUCAAGAAGUUAAUGGUAUAUGGUUUUACAAUGAAGAUGAAUGUGAAGAAGUUGCAAAUCUCUUUAAUAGGAUACUUUCUGAAUACUCAAAGAUACCUCCAAAUGCAGUAAUACCUUCGCUCAAAAGGUCUCAUCUGCUUCUCUAAUAUAUCCUAUUUACUCUUCCUAGGUUGGGCCUUUGACAUUCUUGGUUGGGGAUUCUCCGAUCUAGCAGAAAAACUUACUUCAUGUGAUGUGGUAUCAAAGCACGAACACUUCUAUCAGGUGCUUAAUAAACUAUGUGAAUUUGAGUAAGACAGUUAUUCUAUAGGGUCUGACUUGUUCCUCAGCCUAUAUUCUAAAGGAAUGUUCGUAUUGCCAAUUUUCAAGUUUUAUUUAAUGUGUAUAUUGUUGUUUUUGUUGCAAUUAUUUCGGAUUGUAUUGAGGAUGGAUUUGAUUUACCUACCAGUUUUGGAAGUCUUACAUCAAAAGGCCAAUGAUAUUGGUUGGACCAAGCCUUGGUUCUGCUGUUGCCAUUGAUUUCGUAGUCAUUUAUCCAGAAGCUGUAUGUCCUAUCUAAUAAUUUAAAUUCAGACUAUCCACAACAAGCCAGUUUCUGAGUAAUUUAUUUUACAUUAAGCAAAAUUUUCAUUUAGUAACUCUGGUGUGAACUUAUCAUUCAUUUGCAGUUCAUCUUUUCAGGUGGAAAACCUUGUUUUGAUUGAUGCUAGUGUAUACAGAGGGAACAGGAAACCUAGCAACCUUACCUAGACUUAUAGCAACCUUACCUAUUCCAGGUUCUUGAAUAAUUUGGUCACCAGAAUCUAUCUGAUAAAAAACUCACUAUAUAUGGCUAGAGGAUGAAUAGGUAGAUUUCUUCCUUGUAUUGAAAGUGGACUUAUUCUCAGACACUGGUUCCAUGUACUGAAAUUGAAAUUUCUUGCAGCAUCUCCUACUUUUGCUUGCGUUGUGGCCCUAUGGGGGGUAACACUGCAUCUUCUAUUGUUAUCAAUAAACCCAUAUGGGUACAAAUUCAUUUUAGAUGAGCUUUAUUUGAACAUAGUGGUUGGUGUUUAUUUUAAUAAGAACCAAGCUAAUCUAAGCCACUUGUCCCAAGAGAGAAAAAGAGAACAAAAUUGUUUGAUGUGUUAAAAUUUUAUUAGCAACAAUCAAGUGUUCAUUCAAGUUCUCACUAAAUGAUAUAGUUACUCUCUGGAGCAAUAUGGUGAUCAUCUUGAUAAUCUGUUUGUUUUUUACAGGGUUAGGGUGUUCAGUUGCUAGUUUUGGGAUCAGAAUGUUGUCUGCAAUUCUGACAUCUUCGAAUAUCAAACUGUUCCAUCUUAGUGACAUCCGGAGAAGCUUUCUGGCUUGAGGAAGACCAAGAUCGCACCCUCACAUGCUUCUUUGAUCGAGACCCCAGUCCUCUGGCUCGGCAGGCUCUGUAUCUUCUACG